CACUAACUGGAGGACCGAACCGACUAAUGUUGAAAAAUUAGCGGAUGACUUGUGGCUGGGGGUGAAAGGCCAAUCAAACCGGGAGAUAGCUGGUUCUCCCCGAAAGCUAUUUAGGUAGCGCCUCGUGAAUUCAUCUCCGGGGGUAGAGCACUGUUUCGGCAAGGGGGUCAUCCCGACUUACCAACCCGAUGCAAACUGCGAAUACCGGAGAAUGUUAUCACGGGAGACACACGGCGGGUGCUAACGUCCGUCGUGAAGAGGGAAACAACCCAGACCGCCAGCUAAGGUCCCAAAGUCAUGGUUAAGUGGGAAACGAUGUGGGAAGGCCCAGACAGCCAGGAUGUUGGCUUAGAAGCAGCCAUCAUUUAAAGAAAGCGUAAUAGCUCACUGGUCGAGUCGGCCUGCGCGGAAGAUGUAACGGGGCUAAACCAUGCACCGAAGCUGCGGCAGCGACGCUUAUGCGUUGUUGGGUAGGGGAGCGUUCUGUAAGCCUGUGAAGGUGUGCUGUGAGGCAUGCUGGAGGUAUCAGAAGUGCGAAUGCUGACAUAAGUAACGAUAAAGCGGGUGAAAAGCCCGCUCGCCGGAAGACCAAGGGUUCCUGUCCAACGUUAAUCGGGGCAGGGUGAGUCGACCCCUAAGGCGAGGCCGAAAGGCGUAGUCGAUGGGAAACAGGUUAAUAUUCCUGUACUUGGUGUUACUGCGAAGGGGGGACGGAGAAGGCUAUGUUGGCCGGGCGACGGUUGUCCCGGUUUAAGCGUGUAGGCUGGUUUUCCAGGCAAAUCCGGAAAAUCAAGGCUGAGGCGUGAUGACGAGGCACUACGGUGCUGAAGCAACAAAUGCCCUGCUUCCAGGAAAAGCCUCUAAGCAUCAGGUAACAUCAAAUCGUACCCCAAACCGACACAGGUGGUCAGGUAGAGAAUACCAAGGCGCUUGAGAGAACUCGGGUGAAGGAACUAGGCAAAAUGGUGCCGUAACUUCGGGAGAAGGCACGCUGAUAUGUAGGUGAAGUCCCUCGCGGAUGGAGCUGAAAUCAGUCGAAGAUACCAGCUGGCUGCAACUGUUUAUUAAAAACACAGCACUGUGCAAACACGAAAGUGGACGUAUACGGUGUGACGCCUGCCCGGUGCCGGAAGGUUAAUUGAUGGGGUCAGCGCAAGCGAAGCUCUUGAUCGAAGCCCCGGUAAACGGCGGCCGUAACUAUAACGGUCCUAAGGUAGCGAAAUUCCUUGUCGGGUAAGUUCCGACCUGCACGAAUGGCGUAAUGAUGGCCAGGCUGUCUCCACCCGAGACUCAGUGAAAUUGAACUCGCUGUGAAGAUGCAGUGUACCCGCGGCAAGACGGAAAGACCCCGUGAACCUUUACUAUAGCUUGACACUGAACAUUGAGCCUUGAUG
RNAcentral lists this ribosomal RNA (1394 nucleotides) under Escherichia coli. RNAcentral's name for it is "partial 23S ribosomal RNA". It matches the Rfam family "Bacterial large subunit ribosomal RNA", at positions 760 to 2136 of the family's 2925-position model. The record is from RNAcentral. Lineage: Bacteria; Pseudomonadati; Pseudomonadota; Gammaproteobacteria; Enterobacterales; Enterobacteriaceae.